AAGACUCUAGUAAAGUAGCCAUUACGCUGCUUUGUCAAAGCAGCAUCGCGGGUUAGAGCCCCGCGGGUCUUA
Molecule: transfer RNA, 72 nt
Filed under: Centropyge nox (midnight angelfish)
Lineage: Eukaryota; Metazoa; Chordata; Actinopteri; Pomacanthidae
Description: tRNA-Asp
Rfam family: tRNA
About the family: Transfer RNA (tRNA) molecules are approximately 80 nucleotides in length. Their secondary structure includes four short double-helical elements and three loops (D, anti-codon, and T loops). Further hydrogen bonds mediate the characteristic L-shaped molecular structure. tRNAs have two regions of fundamental functional importance: the anti-codon, which is responsible for specific mRNA codon recognition, and the 3' end, to which the tRNAs corresponding amino acid is attached (by aminoacyl-tRNA synthetases). tRNAs cope with the degeneracy of the genetic code in two manners: having more than one tRNA (with a specific anti-codon) for a particular amino acid; and 'wobble' base-pairing, i.e. permitting non-standard base-pairing at the 3rd anti-codon position.
Source: RNAcentral